UCAAUUGAUGUAAUUGGGUUGGGCUCAC
This 28-nucleotide small RNA is filed under the name Bombyx mori (domestic silkworm). Its description in RNAcentral is "ovarian small RNA-6799". The record is from RNAcentral. Lineage: Eukaryota; Metazoa; Arthropoda; Insecta; Lepidoptera; Bombycidae.